CUGGACAAUCAUUGAGCUGAGAGGAGGUGAUCUUUGAGAAACAGCCUGCGUUCCUGGACUCUUCCAGGGCCGUAUUGCAGGUUGUUGUUCUAAGCAGGUGCCUGAAGAGGGCAAAGGCUUUUUUCUUUUUUCUUUCCUACACUUCUCUGCCUCAUGGUGACUUCAGUUUCCAUGUUCUCAACCAGUUCUCCCUCAUUUGUAGGUAUGAGGCCCUGCUGAGCAUCAGCUCCUUGACUGACUGCAUCACAUAGUUAUCAGUGCACUCUGGGAGUGUGCCCUGCUGGGCUGACUGCAGCAGAUUUUAGGGUGAUUCAAAUCCCCCCUGAGAAGAUGAGGCUUCUUCCAGUUGUUGUGGGUUAUGUGUCCCCUGUGGAAAUGAACUUGCUUUGUUUUGGCAGCGCUCCCAAAGGAACAUGUUCUGGUCUGGCAUUGCUGCACAGCAGGAUGACUUAUUUUAGGGCCAUAAAAGCACUUUCCUGUAUCUUAAAACACUUUCCCUUUUUCACUUGGAUAACAACUAUCAAACAGUACAACACAAUGUACAUCAACUUCAAUUAAGCCCUCUAUUAGAUACUCCGUGUGUUCAGAGUGAGCAGAGGGGGAACCCAAAGCACUUUCAGGCAAGAUGUACUGUUCAUUAAAAGCAGCCCCUGGACAGGCAGCUCAAUCUGCUCCUGAAAUCUGAUAGAAAAAGGACUUGUUGUGCAUUUCUUGAGUUUUCUGAUUGCAUUUAAUGUUUGCUAACAGCGUGGGCUGUUAACAUGGGAGGCAGUGGGGGGGAGGGGGUAGAUUUGAGGCAGGCAGUGCAGCCUUUCUUCCUGAACGUCUCUGUUUACUGUUUAAUCCUGUUUCCCUUUUACUUUGUUUUGGCAAAGUUCCCACUGCUUAAACAGUGAACUGCAGGACUGGUGGAUACUCUGAGGUCCCUCCAGGCUUCAAAGUGCAGCACUGACACUGAGAAGCCGUAAAGGUCAGCAAAGCCAGUGUAUGCAGAUCACAUCCCACCUCUUCAAAAUGAAAGCAAAAGCCAUGAAGUGCGCUGCGUGGGAAUGACAAGGGAAGGGGGGGCGAUGGGAAGAUGUUCAUCUAAGGAUUUUCGUGAUCGUUAUUUCCCUGCAUGAAGAGCAGUAAUGGCUGCACAAUCUCACAGCCCUCCAGAAGAUACUGAAAGGCCACUAUCAGGUCUUCCUGAAGCCUUCUUUUCUCCAGGCUGAGCAGCCCCAGCUCUUUCAGCCUGUCCUCGUAGGAGAGGUGUUUCAUCCCUGGGAUCAUUCUUGUGGACACACUCCAACAGAUGAACAAGUGAAGAGCAAAUGAAAAACUGCAUGCAGAAUUCUUAUUGCACAAGAGAAUUCAAUAUAAACCAUCUGGCAAGUAAAACAGCACCCUUUGGAAAAGAACAGCAUAUCUCCUUGAGCUGCUGCUAAUCUAACAAAAGUGAAAGGAUAGGAAUAGAACCUGGAAUUAAUGCCAUUGCUCUCACAUCUAUUUGAGAAUAACACAGCAGGUUUAAUUAACUAUAUGGCUGAAAGAAGUUACCAGUUCUUAAAUGUUUUCUAAUAUUUUCACUGUUGGUAUAAAACUAGUGGUUACUAUUGUAUUGCUAAGUGAAGAGUUCACAGAAUCACAGAAUCAUAGAAUGGCCUGGGUUGAAAAGUACCUCAAAGAUCAUCGAGUUUCAAUCCCCUGCUAUGUGCAGGGUUGCCAAUCACCAGACCAGGCUGCCCAGAGCCACAUCCAGCCUGGCCUUGAAUGCCUCCAGGGAUGGGGCAUCCACAACCUCCUUGGGCAACCUGUUCCACUGUGUCACCUCCCUCUAUGUGAAAAACUUCCUCCUAAUAUCUAACCCAAACCUCCCCUGCCUCUGUUUAAAACCAUUCCCUCUGGUCCUAUCACUACCCACCCAUGUAAACAGUCAUUCCCCCUCCUGUUUAUAAGCUCCCUUUAAGUACUGAAAGGCCACAGCGAGGUCCCCUGGAGCUUACUCUUCUCCAAGCUAAACAAGCCCGGUUCCCUCAACCUUUCUUCACAGGAGAGGUGCUCCAGCCCUCUGAUAAUCUUAGUGGCCCUCCUCUGGACAUGUUCCAAGAGCUCUGAAUCUUUUUUGUGCUGGGGGCCCCAGGCCUGGAUGCAGUAUUCCCAAGGGACCUCACAAGAGCCGAGUACAGGGAGACGAUCACCUCCCUCUCCCUCCUGGCCACCUUUUUUAAUGCAGAGACUGCAAAAAGUUAUAGCAGAGGUAAGGUUUAUUGUGCAACCUACUUCAAUGGAGCAAACCAAUUAAUAUAACCAAUUCAGUAUAACCUUGAAUUACCUGCUGGAAUGUUUUUAUCCUCAGUAAGGUUUGUUUUAUAUUCUUAUAUCAGGCACAGUGUUUCAACUGUUUAUCAAGUUGAACUUCCUUUAAUGCUGUUUAAAUACUGCAACUGAAUAAUUUCAUUGAGAAACAUAUUAACCUUUCAGAUUAUGAAAGCAAUAAAGAACCAAGAUUAAAAUUGGCACUUGGUACCUAUGAUUGAAAAGUAAAUGAAACAGAUAUGCACAAAUGUUUCAUACCAUUUUCUUCAGGAUGCAGGUCUAAUAAGUCAUCUACAGCACCUAAGAAUAAAAAAGAAGAAAAAAUUAAAAGCAACAGGAGAUUUGCAGUACUGACAAACACCUUGCAUACAUCUAGAUGUAGUUUCUUUAGACACUUCACCUGACUUCUGUUUGUGGUUACAAUUUCCUUGUAACUUGGAUAGGGAAUCCUUGCCAUCAUGAGCUGUAAUCAAGAGCCAUGAACACAUCAAAUCACACUUGGCACUUGAUAGUAUUGAAAGAAUGAGAACGUUGCAUGUUGAACAUUGUGACAUUGUUUAUGAACAUUUGCUACUCAUGCUUAAAAUGAACCUGGUCACCAUGGGUGAAAGACCCAAGAUAUUUAAAAAUACUUGUAAGUAACAUUUCUGAAUAAUAACAAGACAAAAUCUUCCUCUGCAACACCACCUGCCCCACAAGACCAUCUCCAGGCUAGGUGCACCCAAAUGAGGCAACUCCUGAACUGAACGUUCCUCCAGAAGCAGAUUUUUUUAUUUUUUAUUUUUUUUAAUAUGUUUGUACUUCCACAGGGCAGAAGAGAGAACAAAAGUGCUCAGGAUCUCAUCAAUCCUUAAACUGCUUUUCUUGACUAUGCAUCAGUUUAUUAUAUAAACUGGAUGUUAAGAACUGGAAGCAGUUGAUGAGAAGAGCUGUGAAUAAACAGUCCCAUCACUAGUGGCACCAUGUUGAUUAUUUUAGGAUAUAAAGAUGUAUUUAAAAAAGAAGAAAAAGCAGAACAAAAAAACCAAUCUUAGCAAUGUCAGAGACUUGUCAGUAUAUGAAGAGGGGAAAAUUUAGCAAAAGUAUUCCAAAAUAAUUAAGUUCCUUCUAGAGAUGAAGGAGAAAGAGACACAACAAGGUAUUUAUAUUAUGGAUAAUACUUAUGAGCUGACAAAUAUUUCAGUAAGUGAGAAUGAUUCUAGACAACGUCUGCUAAGAAAAUACUUUAGAAGUCAGGUUUUUAUAUUAAAAAAAUAUUAAAAUAUCUGGUAAAGUAAGUAUCCAAUUGCUUAACAGCAAAGUGGUUGAAACUUCUAAUUGCCAAAAAAAUGUCCUGAUGCAGUGCCACAAUUAAAGAAAACACACACACACA
Molecule: long non-coding RNA, 3670 nt
Organism: Tympanuchus pallidicinctus (lesser prairie-chicken)
Lineage: Eukaryota; Metazoa; Chordata; Aves; Galliformes; Phasianidae
Exons: 3
Source: RefSeq, a predicted model, not a curated record